CCUACGGGAGGCAGCAGUAGGGAAUAUUGCUCAAUGGGGGAAACCCUGAAGCAGCAACGCCGCGUGGAGGAUGAAGGUUUUCGGAUUGUAAACUCCUUUUGUUAGAGAAGAUAAUGACGGUAUCUAACGAAUAAGCACCGGCUAACUACGUGCCAGCAGCCGCGGUAAUCCGGAGGGGGCAAGCGUUACUAGGAAUCGCUGGGCGUAAAGAGCUCGUAGGCGGGAUAGCAAGUCAGAUGAGAAAGCCUAUGGCUUAACCAUAGAACUGCAGUGGAAACUGUUAUUCUGGAGUAUGGGAGAGGGAGGUGGAAUUCUUGGUGUAGGGGUAAAAUCCGUAGAGAUCAAGAGGAAUACUCAUUGCGAAGGCGACCUGCUAGAACAUAACUGACGCUGAUGCGCGAAAGCGUGGGGAGCAAACAGGAUUAGAUACCCUAGUAGUC
RNAcentral lists this ribosomal RNA (440 nucleotides) under uncultured bacterium. Its description in RNAcentral is "partial 16S ribosomal RNA". It matches the Rfam family "Bacterial small subunit ribosomal RNA", at positions 338 to 795 of the family's 1533-position model. The record is from RNAcentral.